Molecule: long non-coding RNA, 381 nt
Organism: Fundulus heteroclitus (mummichog)
Lineage: Eukaryota; Metazoa; Chordata; Actinopteri; Cyprinodontiformes; Fundulidae
Exons: 3
Source: RefSeq, a predicted model, not a curated record
GUACAGCCAAAUCUAAGCCGAUACACAGUGGCAAGUGUGAUAAGAACAUUUCGACUGGAAAAUAGGAUUGAGGGUCAGGAACGACGAGGGGGAAGGCCUCCUAUGUUCACAGAACAGCAAGAGAGGGAGAUAGUAAACAUGGUUUUGGCCAACAAUGCUAUAACCCUCAAUCAGCUCCAAGCUAACAUUGUCAAUAACCACGUCGGUUUCAACAAUAGCUAUCAGGUCUCAACAUCAACACUGGCACGCAUCCUAAUAAAAAACAUAUUCAAAUGAAGAAAAUUUAUCGAGUGCCUUUCGAGCGCAAUUCCGAAAGGGUGAAACGACUGCGGCAUGAUUAUGCAGAGAGAGUUUUACAAAUGGAUGGAGAGGAGAUCCAGC